GAAAAACUAAAUCCAUCAAAAACCAAACCACACAACACAACAAAUCCUCCAAACUCAACAACCCCAUAAUUCCUUAACCUCUCUCUAUAAAUAAACACACAUACUUCCCCAUCCCUAUUUGAGCAUCAUCAUGGCUAGACACAUCUCCCUGAGAAACCACCAACUCAGCAUUUCACACUUGGGAUUUGGAGUUGCUAGUCUCAUCCUGUGUGCAUUGACUCUCUUCAUGUGUGCCAGCCACUCGCACAGGCGAUGGCGCAGGUGGAGAUCUUGCUACGGCUAUGGGAGCCACGAUCCCGUCAUCCAACUCAACCACGAAGAGAUCAUGGAUUACCAGUUAGAAGGAGAUGUGGAGCCGAGCGGUGAAGGCAGUCUGUGGAAGAAGAAUAUAAUGAUGGGAGGAAAGUGUCAGCUCCCCGACUUCUCCGGUGUGAUUAUCUACGACUCCACAGGGACCGUUGUCACCCCUGCCAUAAACCAGACAGCUCUUCCUGCACUUACAUGGAGAUGAUGGAGAUUCCUACAGCUGUUUUCUUGUAAAUCAAGAUUAAUUUCUCCUGUAAUCUCAAUGGCAAAUUUCUAUUCAUCAUAAGGGCUUGACUGUGCAGCACAGCACAAUGGCCAAUAUAAACAUCUCAUCAACCCUUUCACAAAUGAAACGUGGGCGUGUAUCUUAUAUGCUUAAUCAUCGAUAUCAGCAUAAACAAAAGAUAGCUUCGGAAAGUUGGUGCUCGAUUGCCAGAACAGAAUGCAGGCAAGAUUUCAUUCAAACAAUCAGAAACAACCAAUCACAUAUCAUUUAACAAACGCACCUACCAAAAAAUGAUUGACAAAGCCGUUGGUCAUGAAUUCUUGUUAUAAACAGCUAACGGGUAGAAACAGGUGUCUGAUAAAAAUUUCUCUCCUUCAUCAAACACUUAGUAAAUUUCAUCUUUCAAGCAUUUCAUCAAAAACUUGACAAAAUUUUCAUCUUUCAAGCAUUUAAUCGAAUACUUGAGUGACCUUUUACGCUCACGAGGAGUGUGAAUACAGAAAGUUGAGAGUUAAAUAAUCAAAAAAUUGGACAAACCAUGACGCACCAUAGUUGGUAAUUGUCUGUAAAUCAGAGUAAUUCAAAGAAGAAGUCAAUUCCCUCUAUCCAACAAGCAGAAUGCAUAUAUGAAACACAGGAGAAUAAUUAGUUUACGGAGUUUUUGGAUGCUUUAAUUUGGCGCAAGAUUUCCUUCAAAUUGUCAUCACUGUCGUGGCGGUAACAAGAUUAGGUUUGGCAGUUUUGAGCAAGUUUGUGGGUGAAUUGCUCCCUCCUCCAUGUCUCGAUUCUUUUACUCCUCUUUGACUCUGAAAAUUCAGUGAUAAUUUGGUGGGAAAUUUACAAAUGGAGAAGGAGGGAAUUCAAAGGAAUUUAUAUAUGGCGGCGGACUCAUCCCCGAAACAAAUAAUGUAGGAUCAUUUAUAUACAUACUCCCUUAUAAAUACGAAAAG
RNAcentral lists this long non-coding RNA (1482 nucleotides) under Salvia miltiorrhiza (redroot sage). RNAcentral's name for it is "long non-coding RNA (SMIL_LNC011969)". The record is from RNAcentral. Lineage: Eukaryota; Viridiplantae; Streptophyta; Magnoliopsida; Lamiales; Lamiaceae.